AGGGGGCUAGCGUUGUUCGGAAUUACUGGGCGUAAAGGGCGCGUAGGCGGUACUUCAAGUCAGGCGUGAAAGCCCCGGGCUCAACCUGGGAACCGCGCUUGAGACUGGAGAACUAGAGUUCGGGAGAGGAUGGUGGAAUUCCCAGUGUAGAGGUGAAAUUCGUAGAUAUUGGGAAGAACACCGAUGGCGAAGGCAGCCAUCUGGACCGACACUGACGCUGAGGCGCGAAAGCGUGGGGAGCAAACAGG
RNAcentral lists this ribosomal RNA (248 nucleotides) under uncultured bacterium. RNAcentral's name for it is "partial 16S ribosomal RNA". It matches the Rfam family "Bacterial small subunit ribosomal RNA", at positions 529 to 776 of the family's 1533-position model. The record is from RNAcentral.